AAACCAGCACCUCAAGUGGUCAGGAGGAUUAUUGGGCCUAAAGCAUCCGUAGCCUGCUCUGUAAGUUUCCGGUUAAAUCCAUUAGCUCAACUGAUGGGCCGCCGGAAAAACUGCAAAGCUAGGGAGUGGGAGAGGUAGACGGUACUCGGUAGGAAGGGGUAAAAUCCUUUGAUCUAUUGAUGACCACCAGUGGCGAAGGCGGUCUACCAGAACACGUUCGACGGUGAGGGAUGAAAGCUGGGGGAGCAAACCGGAUUAGAAACCCCAGUAGUCC
This 274-nucleotide ribosomal RNA is filed under the name uncultured bacterium. Its description in RNAcentral is "partial 16S ribosomal RNA". It matches the Rfam family "Archaeal small subunit ribosomal RNA", at positions 473 to 747 of the family's 1478-position model. The record is from RNAcentral.